This 316-nucleotide long non-coding RNA is filed under the name Solanum pimpinellifolium. RNAcentral describes it as "long non-coding RNA (SPIM_LNC000174)". Lineage: Eukaryota; Viridiplantae; Streptophyta; Magnoliopsida; Solanales; Solanaceae. The record is from RNAcentral.
CAACAGCAACAACAACAACAACAACAACAACAACAACAGCAGCAACAAUAGUAACAGUAAUAACAACAGCAACAACAACAACAACAAUAACAACAGCAACAGCAACAGCAACAGCAACAACAACAGCAAUAAUAACAACAACAACAGCAACAGCAGCAACAGUAAUAGCAACAACAGCAAUAGCAACAACAACAGCAGCAACAGCAACAGCAAUAACAACAACAACAGCAGCAAUAACAACAGCAAUACCAACAGCAACAGCAACAACAACAGCAACAGCAACAACAACAGCAACAGCAACAACAACAGCAACAAC